UACGAAGGGGGCUAGCGUUGUUCGGAAUUACUGGGCGUAAAGCGCGUGUAGGCGGGUCUUUUAAGUCAGGGGUGAAAUGCCAAGGCUCAACCUUGGAACUGCCUUUGAUACUGGAGACCUUGAGUCCGGGAGAGGUGAGUGGAAUUGCGAGUGUAGAGGUGAAAUUCGUAGAUAUUCGCAAGAACACCAGUGGCGAAGGCGGCUCACUGGCCCGGAACUGGACGCUGAGACGCGAAAGCGUGGGGAGCAAACAGGAUUAGAACCCCUG
Molecule: ribosomal RNA, 268 nt
Filed under: uncultured bacterium
Lineage: Bacteria
Description: partial 16S ribosomal RNA
Rfam family: Bacterial small subunit ribosomal RNA
Source: RNAcentral